AGAUUGAACGCUGGCGGCAUGCCUUACACAUGCAAGUCGAACGGCAGCACGGGAGCAAUCCUGGUGGCGAGUGGCGAACGGGUGAGUAAUAUAUCGGAACGUGCCCAGUCGUGGGGGAUAACGCAGCGAAAGCUGUGCUAAUACCGCAUACGAUCUCUGGAUGAAAGCGGGGGACUCGCAAGAGCCUCGCGCGAUUGGACGCGGCCGAUAUCAGAUUAGCUAGUUGGGUAGGGUAAAAGCUACACCAAGGCGACGAUCUGUAGCUGGUCUGGAGAGGACGACCAGCCACACUGGAACUGAGACACCGGUCAGACUCCGUACGGGAGCAGCGAGGUAGGGGUAAUUUUGGGAACUAAGUCGGG
Molecule: ribosomal RNA, 362 nt
Filed under: uncultured soil bacterium
Lineage: Bacteria
Description: bacterial SSU rRNA
Rfam family: Bacterial small subunit ribosomal RNA
Source: RNAcentral